Molecule: long non-coding RNA, 277 nt
Filed under: Bos taurus (domestic cattle)
Lineage: Eukaryota; Metazoa; Chordata; Mammalia; Artiodactyla; Bovidae
Description: long non-coding RNA NONBTAT010715
Source: RNAcentral
GUUUUAAUGUUUCUUCACAAAGACUAAAGAAUUUACCCAAUCCUCCCUUCCUCUGCCAAAAGAAGACAACUGCAAUCCUUUCUUGGCCUUCUUUUGUCAAGUGCCAGUAGCGUAAAUCUCUUGCCCAUAUCUCAAUGAGGACACAUUUAGCCAGGCUGAUUUCAGAAUUGGCAGACCACAGGGACUGCUUUAAGCUCUUUCAGAGUUCACUAAAAUGCUGAUGUAAUAUCCAGCACAUUGUCUGAAAUAUCAGGCCCAUUCCAUUUCUCCAGGAAAC